The sequence is a regulatory RNA element, 314 nucleotides long. It matches the Rfam family "Alphacoronavirus 5'UTR". From Rfam's summary of the family: The 5' UTR has been predicted to contain 3 conserved stem-loops: SL1, SL2 and SL4. The record is from Rfam.
CUUAAAGAAUUUUUCUAUCUAUAGAUAGAGAAUUUUCUUAUUUAGACUUUGUGUCUACUCUUCUCAACUAAACGAAAUUUUUCUAGUGCUGUCAUUUGUUAUGGCAGUCCUAGUGUAAUUGAAAUUUCGUCAAGUUUGUAAACUGGUUAGGCAAGUGUUGUAUUUUCUGUGUCUAAGCACUGGUGAUUCUGUUCACUAGUGCAUACAUUGAUAUUUAAGUGGUGUUCCGUCACUGCUUAUUGUGGAAGCAACGUUCUGUCGUUGUGGAAACCAAUAACUGCUAACCAUGUUUUACAAUCAAGUGACACUUGCUG